This 501-nucleotide ribosomal RNA is filed under the name uncultured bacterium. RNAcentral's name for it is "bacterial SSU rRNA". It matches the Rfam family "Bacterial small subunit ribosomal RNA", at positions 28 to 524 of the family's 1533-position model. The record is from RNAcentral.
GAUGAACGCUAGCGGCAGGCUUAAUACAUGCAAGUCGAGGGGCAGCACGGUUAGCAAUAACUGGUGGCGACCGGCGCACGGGUGCGUAACACGUAUACAAUCUACCUUAAACAGGGGGAUAGCCUUUCGAAAGAGAGAUUAAUACCCCGUAAUAAAUUGAACGGCAUCGUUUGAUUUUGAAAGCUCCGGCGGUUUGAGAUGAGUAUGCGUCUGAUUAGCUAGUUGGUGAGGUAACGGCUCAUCAAGACGACGAUCAGUAGGGGAUCUGAGAGGACUAACCCCCCACACUGGUACUGAGACACGGACCAGACUCCUACGGGAGGCAGCAGUAAGGAAUAUUGGUCAAUGGAGGCAACUCUGAACCAGCCAUGCCGCGUGCAGGAUGACGGCCCUAUGGGUUGUAAACUGCUUUUAUACAAGAGAAAACCCUGGUACGUGUACCAGGUUGAUAGUAUUGUAAGAAUAAGCAUCGGCUAACUUCGUGCCAGCAGCCGCGGUAAU